Erinaceus europaeus (western European hedgehog) is the source of this 481-nucleotide long non-coding RNA. RefSeq lists it as uncharacterized. The record is from RefSeq and is a predicted model, not a curated record. Lineage: Eukaryota; Metazoa; Chordata; Mammalia; Eulipotyphla; Erinaceidae. The transcript is spliced from 2 exons.
CCAGGGGCCACAUUGGAGGUACAGAAGAAGACCUAACUCAUCUAACCUCGAGGAUCAGCCCUCUGGGAGCCUCCGGAGAAAGAAAAGGACCAAGCAACACAAGGAUCAUUCACCAUGACGAACAAGAAGCUCCGGAUGUUCAAACACCCCCUGGAAGAGGAAGAUGAAAACAACAAACUUGCAGCCCUGACCGACUACUUGUACUUCCUGUACCUUUUCCAUGCUCUCAUUUGUUAUAGAUGUCUGAAACUACUUAAGGAGCUGAGAAACGGGGCAGCCGGUAAUGGGGCAGCUGAACCCCGUGACAAGACCACUGGGCCAGCAAGCCAGAACAACUGAGACGGCAGCUGCUCCCUAAUGAGGCGCGGCACGCAGAGACCCUUGCCGCCUGCCUAGGGGUUGCCUCGCAGGGGCACCCAGGACAUGGGCCUGGAAAUUAACCCUGAAGGAAAGGGAGACUGAAUAAAACCUCUUGUGAACA